RNAcentral lists this non-coding RNA (46 nucleotides) under Schistosoma curassoni. The record is from RNAcentral. Lineage: Eukaryota; Metazoa; Platyhelminthes; Trematoda; Strigeidida; Schistosomatidae.
CCACUGCUGAGGAGUCCCAUACUAGGACGAAACGGCCGUCCAGUAC